Molecule: microRNA, 22 nt
Filed under: Eisenia fetida (common brandling worm)
Lineage: Eukaryota; Metazoa; Annelida; Clitellata; Crassiclitellata; Lumbricidae
Description: Efe-Mir-22-P1d_3p (mature (guide))
Source: RNAcentral
AGCUGCCUGAUUAAGAGCUUUU